Long non-coding RNA from Juglans microcarpa x Juglans regia, 390 nucleotides. RefSeq lists it as uncharacterized. The record is from RefSeq and is a predicted model, not a curated record. The transcript is spliced from 2 exons. NCBI's taxonomy places the organism in Eukaryota, Viridiplantae, Streptophyta, Magnoliopsida, Fagales, Juglandaceae.
UCCAGACUCAACUUCACAGACGAAGAAGUGGAAUACCGACGAGAUUCAACUGCACGUUCCCGGCCAUCGUUCAUAAACACAUGAGAGACGGGAAAAAGGAAACACUUUACGGGAAACAAAAGGCAAACAAAAAUUAUGACAAAAAAAGUAUGUAAAUUACCCAGAUUUACAUGCAAGAAAAGAACGAAUUUUGGAAAUACUGUGAUUGGGGAAAUCUUACUCUUGUUUAUUUUGUGUCACACACCAAGAAGAAGAAAGCAAGAAAGAAGAAGAAGAUCGUGAAAAGAUUUAGAGAGAGAGAGAAAGAAACAGAGAGAAUUGAGAAAUCAACCGUAUCAUUCAUGUUAUUUUCCCGCUAUACAACUCGUAUCCCUUUUAUACAACAACAAC